Molecule: non-coding RNA, 105 nt
Organism: Acanthosepion pharaonis
Lineage: Eukaryota; Metazoa; Mollusca; Cephalopoda; Sepiida; Sepiidae
Source: the annotation of a GenBank genome assembly
GACCACAUCACAUUAAAACACCUGUCCCCAUAUGAUCAUGAAGUUAAGCAAUGUUGAGCCUGUUCAGUACCUAGAUGGGUGGCCACUUGGGAAUACCAGGUGUUA